RNAcentral lists this ribosomal RNA (482 nucleotides) under uncultured bacterium. RNAcentral's name for it is "partial 16S ribosomal RNA". It matches the Rfam family "Bacterial small subunit ribosomal RNA", at positions 30 to 507 of the family's 1533-position model. The record is from RNAcentral.
AUUGAACGCUGGCGGCAUGCCUUACACAUGCAAGUCGAACGGUAACGGGCCUUCGGGUGCCGACGAGUGGCGAACGGGUGAGUAAUACAUCGGAACGUGCCCGAUCGUGGGGGAUAACGAGGCGAAAGCUUUGCUAAUACCGCAUACGAUCUACGGAUGAAAGCAGGGGACCGCAAGGCCUUGCGCGGACGGAGCGGCCGAUGGCGGAUUAGGUAGUUGGUGGGAUAAAAGCUUACCAAGCCGACGAUCUGUAGCUGGUCUGAGAGGAUGAUCAGCCACACUGGGACUGAGACACGGCCCAGACUCCUACGGGAGGCAGCAGUGGGGAAUUUUGGACAAUGGGCGAAAGCCUGAUCCAGCCAUGCCGCGUGCAGGAUGAAGGCCUUCGGGUUGUAAGCUGCUUUUGUACGGAACGAAAAGCCUUCUUUUAAUACAGGGGGGUCAUGACGGUACCGUAAGAAUAAGCACCGGCUAACUACGUG